AGUGAGCGCUGGCGGUAGGCCUAACACAUGCAAGUCGAACGGCAGCACAGUAAGAGCUUGCUCUUACGGGUGGCGAGUGGCGGACGGGUGAGGAAUACAUCGGAAUCUACUUUUUCGUGGGGGAUAACGUAGGGAAACUUACGCUAAUACCGCAUACGACCUACGGGUGAAAGCAGGGGAUCUUCUGACCUUGCGCGAUUGAAUGAGCCGAUGUCGGAUUAGCUAGUUGGCGGGGUAAAGGCCCACCAAGGCGACGAUCCGUAGCUGGUCUGAGAGGAUGAUCAGCCACACUGGAACUGAGACACGGUCCAGACUCCUACGGGAGGCAGCAGUGGGGAAUAUUGGACAAUGGGCGCAAGCCUGAUCCAGCCAUACCGCGUGGGUGAAGAAGGCCUUCGGGUUGUAAAGCCCUUUUGUUGGGAAAGAAAAGCAGCAGGUUAAUACCCCGCUGUUCUGACGGUACCCAAAGAAUAAGCACCGGCUAACUUCGUG
This 492-nucleotide ribosomal RNA is filed under the name uncultured bacterium. RNAcentral's name for it is "partial 16S ribosomal RNA". It matches the Rfam family "Bacterial small subunit ribosomal RNA", at positions 29 to 507 of the family's 1533-position model. The record is from RNAcentral.